This 466-nucleotide ribosomal RNA is filed under the name uncultured bacterium. Its description in RNAcentral is "partial 16S ribosomal RNA". It matches the Rfam family "Bacterial small subunit ribosomal RNA", at positions 28 to 507 of the family's 1533-position model. The record is from RNAcentral.
GACGAACGCUGGCGGCGCGCCUAACACAUGCAAGUCGAACGAGCGAGAGAGAGCUUGCUUUCUCGAGCGAGUGGCAAACGGGUGAGUAACGCGUGAGGAACCUGCCUCAAAGAGGGGGACAACAGUUGGAAACGACUGCUAAUACCGCAUAAGCCCACGGCUCGGCAUCGAGCAGGGGGAAAAGGAGCAAUCCGCUUUGAGAUGGCCUCGCGUCCGAUUAGCUAGUUGGUGGGGUAACGGCCCACCAAGGCGACGAUCGGUAGCCGGACUGAGAGGUUGAACGGCCACAUUGGGACUGAGACACGGCCCAGACUCCUACGGGAGGCAGCAGUGGGGAAUAUUGCACAAUGGGGGAAACCCUGAUGCAGCGACGCCGCGUGGAGGAAGAAGGUCUUCGGAUUGUAAACUCCUGUUGUUGGGGAAGAUAAUGACGGUACCCAACAAGGAAGUGACGGCUAACUACGUG